GAUGACCGGUUCAGGUUCAGCGGACUCCUUAGUUUACAGGAAGUAACCAUUGCAAUAAAAACAGCGACCUCUAGAGAGUAAAGUGAGAGCGAGAACAUCUGGAUGCCGACAGGGCAGAAAAAGCAGGUGACAUGGAGACUUCCUGGCAGACCCCUACACCAUGGCAACAGCUGUGUCCUAAAGAAUCUGUUCACCGGAGGUGUGGCUUAUUGUAUCACCGCCUCCGACUGACGGCAGUCAGCGUAAGCACAUUUCAAUAGGAAACCUGCACAUUAGCAUUUCGAAUAUUUCUCUCAAACAGCAGAAAACAUUUAAAUACAAAAUUGACCAUACAUUUUGUGUGGGCCACAGGCACGUUGUGACAAAGUACAGCUCCUUAAAAAAAUAAGAUACCUUUCUUUCGGGAACUGUAUAUAAAAAAUUUGUAGUUUAUCUUCCAGCUCCCUGGUUCAUCUGAAGUUAGAUGCCUGGAUUAAUUUUUAAGUAUUUCCUGUCCUAAUUUUAGCAUGUUUUUCUAUGCUCUCCCUAAAUGUAUCGGACUCAGUAAAAAAUAUGUAUAUUAAACCCCUGCCAACAUA
Molecule: long non-coding RNA, 578 nt
Organism: Esox lucius (northern pike)
Lineage: Eukaryota; Metazoa; Chordata; Actinopteri; Esociformes; Esocidae
Exons: 3
Source: RefSeq, a predicted model, not a curated record